This 1710-nucleotide ribosomal RNA is filed under the name Triticum aestivum (bread wheat). RNAcentral describes it as "partial small subunit ribosomal RNA". The record is from RNAcentral. Lineage: Eukaryota; Viridiplantae; Streptophyta; Magnoliopsida; Poales; Poaceae.
AUGGAGCUGGGGGCGGCCGGGAUGCGGCGGUCGGCGUCGCACAACUCGCUGUCCGGGUCCGAUGACUUCGACCUCACACACCUGCUCAACAAGCCGCGGAUCAACGUCGAGCGCCAGCGCUCCUUCGAUGACCGUUCGCUCAGCGACGUCUCCUACUCCGGUGGCCACGCCAGAGGAGGCGGAGGCUUUGACGGCAUGUACUCCCCGGGCGGCGGUCUACGCUCUCUGGUCGGCACGCCGGCCUCCUCGGCGCUCCACUCUUUCGAGCCCCACCCCAUAGUCGGCGACGCCUGGGAGGCCCUCCGCCGCUCCCUCGUCUUUUUCCGCGGCCAGCCGCUUGGUACCAUCGCCGCUUUCGACCAUGCAUCCGAGGAAGUCCUAAACUAUGAUCAGGUGUUUGUGAGAGAUUUCGUGCCCAGCGCCAUGGCAUUUCUGAUGAAUGGCGAGCCGGAGAUUGUCAAGAACUUCCUGCUCAAGACCGUGUUGCUGCAGGGUUGGGAGAAGAAGGUUGAUCGGUUUAAGCUUGGCGAGGGGGCCAUGCCUGCAAGCUUUAAAGUGCUUCAUGACGAUAAGAAGGGUGUUGAUACCCUGCACGCGGAUUUUGGUGAGAGCGCAAUUGGGCGGGUUGCACCAGUGGAUUCGGGCUUCUGGUGGAUCAUACUAUUGCGGGCCUACACAAAGUCCACGGGGGAUUUGACUCUGGCAGAGAGGCCGGAAUGCCAGAAGGCGAUGAGGCUCAUUCUGAGCCUGUGCUUGUCUGAGGGAUUUGAUACCUUCCCGACAUUGCUAUGUGCUGAUGGUUGCUGCAUGAUAGAUCGUAGGAUGGGUGUGUAUGGCUACCCCAUUGAAAUUCAAUCCCUUUUCUUCAUGGCACUAAGGUGUGCUCUUCUAAUGCUUAAACAUGACGCUGAAGGGAAAGAUUUUGUGGAGCGGAUUGCAACUCGUCUUCAUGCUUUAAGUUAUCACAUGCGGAGUUAUUUUUGGCUAGAUUUCCAGCAGCUAAAUGAUAUUUAUCGUUACAAGACGGAAGAAUAUUCUCAUACAGCUGUCAACAAAUUUAAUGUUAUUCCAGAUUCUAUUCCGGACUGGCUAUUUGAUUUCAUGCCUUGCGAGGGUGGUUUUUUUGUUGGUAAUGUUAGUCCUGCAAGGAUGGACUUCCGUUGGUUUGCACUUGGAAACAUGAUUGCCAUAGUGUCAUCUCUUGCUACACCUGAGCAAUCCAUGGCCAUAAUGGAUCUCAUUGAGGAGCGCUGGGAAGAGUUAAUUGGUGAGAUGCCUCUGAAGAUAUGCUAUCCUGCUAUUGAGAACCAUGAAUGGCGUAUCGUGACGGGAUGUGAUCCAAAAAAUACGAGAUGGAGUUACCACAAUGGAGGAUCUUGGCCAGGUUAUUGCACUUUGUGUUACUUGGAUCUCUUACUUCUCUGGCUGCUCACGGCAGCAAGCAUCAAAACUGGACGGCCGCAAAUUGCAAGAAGAGCAAUUGACCUAGCUGAGAGGAGGCUGUUGAAGGAUGGCUGGCCUGAGUAUUACGAUGGUAAGCUUGGAAAAUAUGUUGGUAAGCAGGCAAGGAAAUUUCAGACUUGGUCCAUUGCCGGGUAUUUGGUCGCCAAGAUGCUGCUGGAGGAUCCUUCGCAUCUUGGUAUGAUAGCCUUGGAAGAGGACAAGGCAAUGAAGCCAGUUUUGAGAAGGUCCGCCUCAUGGACAAACUGA